This 433-nucleotide ribosomal RNA is filed under the name uncultured bacterium. Its description in RNAcentral is "partial 16S ribosomal RNA". It matches the Rfam family "Bacterial small subunit ribosomal RNA", at positions 29 to 507 of the family's 1533-position model. The record is from RNAcentral.
AACGAACGCUGGCGGCAUGCCUAACACAUGCAAGUCGAACGAGACCUUCGGGUCUAGUGGCGCACGGGUGCGUAACGCGUGGGAACCUGCCCUUAGGUUCGGAAUAACUCCCCGAAAGGGGUGCUAAUACCGGUUAAUGUCUUCGGACCAAAGAUUUAUCGCCUUUGGAUGGGCCCGCGUUGGAUUAGCUAGUUGGUAGGGUAAAAGCCUACCAAGGCGACGAUCCAUAGCUGGUCUGAGAGGAUGAUCAGCCACACUGGGACUGAGACACGGCCCAGACUCCUACGGGAGGCAGCAGUGGGGAAUAUUAGACAAUGGACGAAAGCCUGAUCCAGCAAUGCCGCGUGAGUGAUGAAGGCCUUAGGGUUGUAAAGCUCUUUUACCCGGGAUGAUAAUGACAGUACCGGGAGAAUAAGCUCCGGCUAACUCCGUG